Molecule: ribosomal RNA, 507 nt
Filed under: Heterixalus madagascariensis (Madagascar reed frog)
Lineage: Eukaryota; Metazoa; Chordata; Amphibia; Anura; Hyperoliidae
Description: partial 16S ribosomal RNA
Rfam family: Bacterial large subunit ribosomal RNA
Source: RNAcentral
UUUAACGGCCGCGGUAUCAUAACCGUGCGAAGGUAGCAUAAUAAAUUGUUCUCUAAAUAGGGACUAGUAUGAAAGGCACCACGAGGGCUUAACUGUCUCCCUUUUCCAAUUAAUGAAACUGAUCUUCUCGUGAAGAAGCGAGAAUAAAAAUAUAAGACGAGAAGACCCCAUGGAGCUUUAAACUCAUCAUCAUUUACUUUUUUCACAUCAUCACAUAUAGUAAAAAUGUUAACUGAUAGUUUUCGGCUGGGGUGACCCUGGAGAAAAACAAAUCCUCCAGGAUGAACGGAAUAAUAAUCCUAAUCAAAGAGUCACAACUCUAAGAAUCAAAACAUUGACAUCAUUUGAUCCAAUUACUUGAUCAACGAACCAAGUUACCCUGGGGAUAACAGCGCAAUCCAUUUCAAGAGCCCCUAUCGACAAAUGGGUUUACGACCUCGAUGUUGGAUCGGGGUAUCCCAGUGGCGCAGCCGCUACUAAAGGUUCGUUUGUUCAACGAUUAACAAC